RNAcentral lists this ribosomal RNA (411 nucleotides) under Verrucomicrobiota bacterium. Its description in RNAcentral is "Verrucomicrobia bacterium partial 16S ribosomal RNA". It matches the Rfam family "Bacterial small subunit ribosomal RNA", at positions 355 to 776 of the family's 1533-position model. Lineage: Bacteria; Pseudomonadati; Verrucomicrobiota. The record is from RNAcentral.
UGGGGAAUCUUGCGCAAUGGGGGAAACCCUGACGCAGCGACGCCGCGUGCGGGAUGAAGGCCUUCGGGUUGUAAACCGCUUUCAGCAGGGACGAGGCCUUAUGGUGACGGUACCUGCAGAAGAAGCUCCGGCUAAAUACGUGCCAGCAGCCGCGGUAAUACGUAUGGAGCAAGCGUUAUCCGGAUUCAUUGGGCGUAAAGCGCUCGUAGGCGGUCUGUUAGGUCGGCAAGUUAAAUCCGGGGGCUCAACCCCCGUCCGCUUCCGAUACCGGCAGACUUGAGUUUGGUAGGGGAAGGUGGAAUUCCUAGUGUAGCGGUGGAGUGCGCAGAUAUUAGGAAGAACACCGGUGGCGAAGGCGGCCUUCUGGGCCAUAACUGACGCUGAGGAGCGAAAGCUAGGGGAGCGAACAGG